CUUUCCCCAUUCGGCCAAGAUAUAGGCUCCUUUUCAUCAAAUCCUCCAAUACUUAACCCAGUCCUAUAAUCUCACCUGGAGUAACUUAAUGUCGUCCUUACU
Molecule: long non-coding RNA, 102 nt
Organism: Sapajus apella (tufted capuchin)
Lineage: Eukaryota; Metazoa; Chordata; Mammalia; Primates; Cebidae
Exons: 4
Source: RefSeq, a predicted model, not a curated record